GGGGUUGUGGCUCAGUGGUAGAGCAUUUGCCUAGCAUGCAUGAGGCACUGGGUUCGAUUCCCAGAACCGCA
RNAcentral lists this transfer RNA (71 nucleotides) under Marmota marmota marmota (Alpine marmot). It matches the Rfam family "tRNA". From Rfam's summary of the family: Transfer RNA (tRNA) molecules are approximately 80 nucleotides in length. Their secondary structure includes four short double-helical elements and three loops (D, anti-codon, and T loops). Further hydrogen bonds mediate the characteristic L-shaped molecular structure. tRNAs have two regions of fundamental functional importance: the anti-codon, which is responsible for specific mRNA codon recognition, and the 3' end, to which the tRNAs corresponding amino acid is attached (by aminoacyl-tRNA synthetases). tRNAs cope with the degeneracy of the genetic code in two manners: having more than one tRNA (with a specific anti-codon) for a particular amino acid; and 'wobble' base-pairing, i.e. permitting non-standard base-pairing at the 3rd anti-codon position. RNAcentral also lists the same sequence under 1 other name. The record is from Rfam by way of RNAcentral. Lineage: Eukaryota; Metazoa; Chordata; Mammalia; Rodentia; Sciuridae.